Molecule: RNA transcript, 1981 nt
Organism: Brachypodium distachyon (stiff brome)
Lineage: Eukaryota; Viridiplantae; Streptophyta; Magnoliopsida; Poales; Poaceae
Exons: 11
Source: RefSeq, a predicted model, not a curated record
AAAAAAUUCUUCUUUUCACAGCAAAAACUACCGGCUGCGCCGGCGGUCUCGUGGCGAAACCACCAGCCGUCGUUGGUUCCCACUCCCCCGAGCACCUCAUCACUGCGCUCCGCCUCUCGCGCUCCAUGGCUUCCAUGGCUUCGAUGGCGGCGGCAACGUCUGCAACUCACCUCCUCUCCUCCCCAGCCGUCGCAUCUCCACUGCACGUACCUUGCCGUCACCGUCGCACAGAGGCAGCAAGGAGCCUCUCCUGCCGCGCGUCGCUUGGCCCCGACGGCCUCCUGUCCGCACUCGCCGCCCCAAGACCGGCACCCGCCCGAGCGAGGACGUACCUGCGGAAGCAGUCCUGCCUCCUCUUCCCACCCCCGCGCGGCCGCCGCCCGCUCGCCGUCGUCAAGUUCCUCGGCGGCGCCUUCAUCGGCGCCGUCCCCGAGGCCACCUACGGCUACCUGCUGGAGCUCCUGGCGCAGGAGGGCUUCCUCGUGGUGUCCGUGCCAUACAACGUCACCUUCGACCACGCGGCGGCCGCGCGGGAGGUCUUCGAUAGGUUUCACGGCUGCUACGACGCGCUUCUCGCGUCGGGGCUGCCGGAGGCCGGGCUAAGCGCGCUGGACAUCGCGGAGCUUCCACUCUACUCGGUCGGGCACAGCAAUGGUGCAUUGCUUCAGCUGUUGGUGGGAAGCUACUUCUCGGAGAAGAUACCAAAGGCUAAUGCCAUUGUCUCAUUCAACAAUAGACCCGCUUCGGAAGCUGUUCCUUACUUUGAGCAGAUAGGCCCACUCUUUAGUCAACUAAUGCCUAUGAUGGAGGUGUCACCUGUAUAUUCUGUGGCAAGAGAUGCAUCAGGAGAUGCAUGGAAGGCCUUAUUUGAUUUAGCUGGAGGUCUGAUACGGGAGUACGACCAAGAAGCUAUGGUAUCCAUGACCAAAUUUGUUGAUCAGUUACCAUCGGUGAUGAAUCAGGUUACAGAAGGUGUGUCUGAAUUCAAACCAACACCACCUGAGAACCGUGAAUUCUGCAAGAACUCCUACAGUGUACCAAAUACAUUAUUGGUGAAAUUUAGCAUUGAUGGUAUUGACGAUACAGAUAUAAUCGAGGACAUCUUGAGACCCCGGGUAGACUCAAUUGGUGGACAAAUAAAAAAGGUCAUACUGUCGGGAACACAUCUAACUCCAUGUAUACAGGAUGUGAAAUGGCAGGUCGGUUCAGAAUACACUCCAGCGGAUGCUCUUGCCCAGGGUUUAAAAUCAUUAGCCCUCAAUGAGACUAGAGUCCUCUCAAGAACUAUCUCUGAUUGGUUGAGAUCCCUUUAGAACUCUAAUUACUAUCUGUCUAUUGAAGUUCAGAAUGCUGCUUCCGAAGCUCUGUGGUGUAAAAACUGGGGACCAUUGCUUGCUUACUCAUGCAGUUACUACAUUGGACAUCAUUUUACACACAUCGGAGAUAGAGCUGCAGAAAUAUCUGUAGAAACUGAUGCAAUUGACUGUGCUGUGGGGGUCGCCAUUGCAAGGAGACAUUGGAAUAAGUACCUAUAGCACCUAAGGGUGAUGCAUUUGGACCGAGUUGGGUUGGUCAUGCAUGCUCACCGACAUGCCCAACUACUAUCUGAUCAAGAUUGGGGAGUUGGCCAAAGUGUUUGGACUCUAGUCAGGCUAUACCAUGCAUUUAACCAAAAAUCUAACAGAACAAUUGAUCCAAUCUCAAGUAUGGCACCACCGGGGCUGAGUUGGCGGUAUGUACCUUGCAGCAGGCAGACAACCCUGUCAAUGCACGGCCUUCAGCUGGCUGGCAUUGUACGUGUGUAAUACAACGAUAUACGGCAUAUGCAGAUUGUCAUGUUAUAAUUUCUGUAUAGCUCAAACACUUGGUACAGUUUUGUAUACUUCGUUGAAUGUCAAGGAUGCUUGUAAGUUGUAAUGCGCAAUUCUGCAGUAAGCCUAGCUGGCCCAAAUUUAGCGGCACUGAUGAAAAUUUGUAUGAA